RNAcentral lists this transfer RNA (70 nucleotides) under Brotia sp. WH-2000. RNAcentral's name for it is "tRNA-Thr". It matches the Rfam family "tRNA". Rfam says of the family: Transfer RNA (tRNA) molecules are approximately 80 nucleotides in length. Their secondary structure includes four short double-helical elements and three loops (D, anti-codon, and T loops). Lineage: Eukaryota; Metazoa; Mollusca; Gastropoda; Pachychilidae. The record is from RNAcentral.
GCGAUUGUGGCUCAUAUAUAGAGCAUCGGUCUUGUAAGCCGAAGUUAAACAUCUUUACGUUUCUAUCGCU